This 191-nucleotide small RNA is filed under the name Chrysemys picta bellii (western painted turtle). RNAcentral describes it as "TUC338 (ENSCPBG00000027024.1)". The record is from RNAcentral. Lineage: Eukaryota; Metazoa; Chordata; Testudines; Emydidae.
UUGACAGCCCUGGAGACUGAAAUCCUCUGUUUAUUCUCAGAAUUAGAACAGCCUGUACAGCACUACAGAAGCUUCCAUACACUGCCCUAUCAGAGUGCCUCAGUCCCCUCCCCGUCCCCCUUCCCCUGUAGGGUCAGCCCUAAGUCUGGAAGGGAGUUUAGCCUCCCAGGCCAAGUCAAUCCCAGAUCUUU